AAUUGAACCUCUCCUCAUUCCUUCUACAAGAGCUAAAUUCGCAAUCAAUAACUUCAAAAUAAUAAAAAUUUCCAAAUAAUAUUUUAUGAUUGCUAGACUGGAAGAUCCUGAAUAGGAAAUUGCAUGAUAAUACCAGAUAGGAAAAUUUACAAGAAAAAUCUAUCUUCAAAAUUAAGCAUUAUUAAAUAAAGUAGUCCCUAAAUAUAUUUUUCCUUGAAUUCUACCAGGGUUUUGAAUAGCAGCACCUGGAACACACUCUAUUAUCCAGUUUUAUUGAGACUAUUUUUUAAAGAAUUACCAAAAAUACUCUAAUUUAUUGUCUUACAAGAAUUUAUCCAGAUAUGCAAUAUAUUACUAGUAACAGUGCUUAAAAUCAACUACUAAGCUUACAUAAUUAAAUUUUAAAAAUAUUAAUUUUUUUUUUAAAUUAUGAUAAUUUCAUAAGAGAUUAUAUGAAUAAGUUGACAAACCUUUUUUUAUAAGAAAAUGGAAAAACUCAGCGUCAAUAGGACAAUAAAAGAAGGCUUAACAGUAUGGUUUUAGGAGGCCCAAAAAUUUAAGAAAUUCAGCUAUAAAUUAUUUAAAACAAAAAUCGUGCUAGUAUAUAUUUCACAAGAUCUAUGUGCUGCAUAGCAAUUGCAGCAUUGACUAAGAAUCUUGCCUAAAAAGCAAAUUACCUGUGAGCAAUGGAAUCCAAAAGGAUGCAUGAUCAUCUUUGUCACUGAAUGCUUGAAUAUCUGAAGCAACCUCAUUUCCCACUGAAGUGGAUGCAUCAUCAGCCCUGCUCUUUUCAUUCCAUACAAGUCCUCCAUCUGCAAGUUUGACAGCACAA
Molecule: unclassified non-coding RNA, 832 nt
Filed under: Hevea brasiliensis (rubber tree)
Lineage: Eukaryota; Viridiplantae; Streptophyta; Magnoliopsida; Malpighiales; Euphorbiaceae
Source: RNAcentral